CCCAAAGUGGUGUAGAGGUAGCACGUCUGGUUGACACACGGCGACAGCAACCGUGCCUUCGGGGGUGGGAAGUCCAGGUUCGAUUCCUGGCUUUGGGA
Xylaria telfairii is the source of this 98-nucleotide non-coding RNA. NCBI's taxonomy places the organism in Eukaryota, Fungi, Ascomycota, Sordariomycetes, Xylariales, Xylariaceae. The record is from the annotation of a GenBank genome assembly.